This 75-nucleotide transfer RNA is filed under the name Palleronia salina. RNAcentral's name for it is "Maribius salinus tRNA_Val_CAC". It matches the Rfam family "tRNA". From Rfam's summary of the family: Transfer RNA (tRNA) molecules are approximately 80 nucleotides in length. Their secondary structure includes four short double-helical elements and three loops (D, anti-codon, and T loops). The record is from RNAcentral. RNAcentral also lists the same sequence under 16 other names. Lineage: Bacteria; Pseudomonadati; Pseudomonadota; Alphaproteobacteria; Rhodobacterales; Roseobacteraceae.
GGGUGAUUAGCUCAGUGGUAGAGCGCUUCGUUCACAUCGAAGAUGUCAGCAGUUCGAAUCUGUUAUCACCCACCA